UACCCAUGGUGUGGGCAACUCUUCUACAGUCCCUUGAAUCACUCCUAGGCUUGAAAUAAGGAUUCAUGCUCAUAUUGGGCAAAAUUCCAAAUUUCUCUGAUUAA
Non-coding RNA from Glycine max (soybean), 104 nucleotides. The record is from Rfam. Lineage: Eukaryota; Viridiplantae; Streptophyta; Magnoliopsida; Fabales; Fabaceae.